CUGAAAUAGGAGGACUAGGAUAAACUAAGUAGCUUCACGUGGAGAUGUAUUUGAAAUGCAAAAGAAGGAAGAAAAUAGACAUGUCUACAUUAUAAGUGAGAUUUAACUAACAUUUCUGUUUCAGAAUGGCCUGCACUCCAGAGCUGGGGAAGGGAAAAUGAUGAAUCCAUCCCCAUUUCAUUGGCUUAACUUCCCGUCUGCUUUUCUGAUUUUCUAGAUUGACAUUAGAGGUGCAUACGUCCUGGGUAUCUAUCUACAUUUGACGUCAUUUGAUCCCUGGAAGGACAGCGCACCUCAGAAGCACAGAGCAGAAUAAAGGGUCUGCUGGACACGCAGUUGGAGCGUAUGAAUCAACAGAUGUAGCUCACAGAACCACACCUCCCAGGAUUUACGUGGCAUUCAUACUCUCCAAUAUAGUCCAUUCAAAACACAGGCUCCAGCGACCCUGGGAGAUUCAGGUGAAGAAAGACAGGCCACAUAAGGUGUAAACCCUUUGUGGUCCUAGGCCAAAAGGUGUGGUGAAGAACAUUGCUUUAGGGAACACCUACCAUGGCUGUGGGUAUGACGGCCAGACCCUUCAACCUCUAUUAAUUCCGUCUUGAGAGGAAACUCAAAUCAUAAUGGCUGCUGAGUAUAUCCUAUGCAAUUGGAAAGGCCACAUUUGGCCAGCAAAGGUUUUUGUCCAGAU
Molecule: long non-coding RNA, 688 nt
Filed under: Felis catus (domestic cat)
Lineage: Eukaryota; Metazoa; Chordata; Mammalia; Carnivora; Felidae
Description: lncRNA (ENSFCAG00000049675.1)
Source: RNAcentral